RNAcentral lists this unclassified non-coding RNA (1352 nucleotides) under uncultured Neocallimastigales. Its description in RNAcentral is "partial contains internal transcribed spacer 1, 5.8S ribosomal RNA, internal transcribed spacer 2, and large subunit ribosomal RNA". The stretch from base 596 to 1352 matches the Rfam family "Eukaryotic large subunit ribosomal RNA", at positions 1 to 617 of the family's 3401-position model. The record is from RNAcentral. Lineage: Eukaryota; Fungi; Neocallimastigomycota; Neocallimastigomycetes; Neocallimastigales.
AAAAUAAUCCUACCCUUUGUGAAUUUUGUUUGUUUGAAUAAUUUUUUUUUUUAAAAAUUAUUGGAGUCUUUCCCUUUAGAGUUUGCUUUUGAGUUUGUAAAAGAACUCGAAAACAUCUAAAGGGGAUGGUCAAUAAUUUUUUUUGAAAAAAGACAUUUUUUAAAAUUAAACUUUUUGUAUUCAUUUGUCUAAAAAUUAUUUUUAUAAUAUAAAAACAACUUUUGACAAUGGAUCUCUUGGUUCUCGCAACGAUGAAGAACGCAGCAAAAUGCGAUAAGUAGUGUGAAUUGCAGAAUACGUGAAUCAUCGAAUCUUUGAACGCAUAUUGCACUUUUUUAGUUUACUAAAAAAGUAUGUCUGUUUGAGUAUCAGUAAAAUAUUCUCAUAAAAAUCAUUGUGUAUUUUUAUGGUUAUGAGUGUUUUACAACGAUACAAGUUGUUUCACUUUAAAUUUUUUUUUAAUAUUGAAAUUUUUCUAAUUUUAAUAAUUAAAAUUGGAUAAAAUUUUCCCGUCAAAAGGAAUAACCUAAACAAUUUUAAAUGAUUAAUUUUAGCAAAAUUUUCGUAAAAAAGGAAAAUUUUUAUUAAAAUAACUUGAUCUCAAAUCAGAUAAGAGUACCCGCUGAACUUAAGCAUAUCAAUAAGCGGAGGAAAAGAAACUAACAAGGAUUCCCUUAGUAACGGCGAGUGAAGCGGGAAGAGCUCAAAUUUGAAAUCUUCAAGGUUUUACCUUGACGAAUUGUAGUUUAAAGAAGUGUUUUCUGCUGAAGUUUUGGUAAAAGUUCUUUGGAAUAGGACAUCAUAGAGGGUGAGAAUCCCGUAUUUGACCAUUAUUUUCAGCUUUGUGAUACACUUUCAAAGAGUCGGAUUGUUUGGGAAUGCAGUCCAAAAUGGGUGGUAAAUUUCAUCUAAAGCUAAAUAUUGGCGAGAGACCGAUAGCGAACAAGUACCGUGAGGGAAAGAUGAAAAGAACUUUGAAAAGAGAGUUAAACAGUACGUGAAAUUGUCAAAAGGGAAGCGUUUGACACCAGUGUUGUUUUCUCGAAAAUCAAUUAAAAAUGGCUCGAUUUUGUAUUGCUGAGACCUUAAAAGCUCACUGUACAUUUUUCGUGUCUUUUUUAAUGCACUUUUCGUUUAACAAGUCAACAUCAGUUUCUUUUGUUGUAAAAGGGUCAUUGGAAGGUGGCUUUCUUUUCGGAGAAAGUGUUUAUAGCCUUUGGCCUCUGCAAUCGAGAGACUGAGGUCUGCAGCGUAGACCCUUCGGGGUUAGAUACAUUUGUGCUAAGUUAUAGCUUUUUAUAGACAACUUGUUGACUAUAAUUAGUCUUGUAGCUUACUCGCUUAUGCUAUUU